Molecule: ribosomal RNA, 468 nt
Filed under: uncultured bacterium
Lineage: Bacteria
Description: partial 16S ribosomal RNA
Rfam family: Bacterial small subunit ribosomal RNA
Source: RNAcentral
GACGAACGCUGGCGGCGUGCUUAACACAUGCAAGUCGAACGGUGAAGCUCCAGCUUUCUUGGGUGGAGCAGUUGCGAACGGGAGAGGAACACGUGAGCAACCUACCCCUGCCUCUGGUAUAAGCUCUCGAAACGGCGUCUAAUACUGUAUGCGAGAAUGUUCCGCAUUGGCACUUUCUGUCAAGGUUUUCGGUUGUGUCUGGGCUCGCGGCCUAUCAGCGUUUUCGUGUGGUAGGUGCGCACCAGGGCUACGACGGGUGGCCGGCCUGAGAGGGCGAGCGGCCACACUGAGACUGAGACAGGGGCCAGCAUCGUACGGGAGGGAGCAGUGGGGAAUAUUGCACAAUGGCGGAAACGCUGAUGCAGCGAAGCCGCGUGAGGGAUGAAGGCCUUCGGGUUGUAAACCUCUUUCAGCAGGGAAGAAGCGAAAGUGACGGUACCUGCAGAAGAAGCACCGGCUAACUACGUG